GGAGACAUGGCAGAGCGGUUGAAUGCGCGCGACUCGAAAUCGUGUAUACGGCAACCCCGUAUCAAGGGUUCAAAUCCCUUUGUCUCCGCCA
RNAcentral lists this transfer RNA (91 nucleotides) under Alphaproteobacteria bacterium. Its description in RNAcentral is "tRNA-Ser". It matches the Rfam family "tRNA". From Rfam's summary of the family: Transfer RNA (tRNA) molecules are approximately 80 nucleotides in length. Their secondary structure includes four short double-helical elements and three loops (D, anti-codon, and T loops). The record is from RNAcentral. Lineage: Bacteria; Pseudomonadati; Pseudomonadota; Alphaproteobacteria.